GGGGAACCCUGAUCCAGCCAUGCCGCGUGUGUGAAGAAGGCCUUUUGGUUGUAAAGCACUUUAAGCGAGGAGGAGGCUACCUAGAUUAAUACUUUAGGAUAGUGGACGUUACUCGCAGAAUAAGCACCGGCUAACUCUGUGCCAGCAGCCGCGGUAAUACAGAGGGUGCGAGCGUUAAUCGGAUUUACUGGGCGUAAAGCGUGCGUAGGCGGCCAAUUAAGUCAAAUGUGAAAUCCCCGAGCUUAACUUGGGAAUUGCAUUCGAUACUGGUUGGCUAGAGUAUGGGAGAGGAUGGUAGAAUUCCAGGUGUAGCGGUGAAAUGCGUAGAGAUCUGGAGGAAUACCGAUGGCGAAGGCAGCCAUCUGGCCUAAUACUGACGCUGAGGUACGAAAGCAUGGGGAGCAAACAGGAUUAGAUACCCUGGUAGUCCAUGCGGUAAACGAUGUCUACUAGCCGUUGGGGCCCUUGAGGCUUUAGUGGCGCAGCUAACGCGAUAAGUAGACCGCCUGGGGAGUACGGUCGCAAGACUAAAACUCAAAUGAAUUGACGGGGGCCCGCACAAGCGGUGGAGCAUGUGGUUUAAUUCGAUGCAACGCGAAGAACCUUACCUGGCCUUGACAUACAGAGAACUUUCCAGAGAUGGAUUGGUGCCUUCGGGAACUCUGAUACAGGUGCUGCAUGGCUGUCGUCAGCUCGUGUCGUGAGAUGUUGGGUUAAGUCCCGCAACGAGCGCAACCCUUUUCCUUAUUUGCCAGCACUUCGGGUGGGAACUUUAAGGAUACUGCCAGUGACAAACUGGAGGAAGGCGGGGACGACGUCAAGUCAUCAUGGCCCUUACGGC
Molecule: ribosomal RNA, 841 nt
Filed under: Acinetobacter sp. RM160
Lineage: Bacteria; Pseudomonadati; Pseudomonadota; Gammaproteobacteria; Moraxellales; Moraxellaceae
Description: bacterial SSU rRNA
Rfam family: Bacterial small subunit ribosomal RNA
Source: RNAcentral